RNAcentral lists this ribosomal RNA (381 nucleotides) under uncultured bacterium. RNAcentral describes it as "bacterial SSU rRNA". It matches the Rfam family "Bacterial small subunit ribosomal RNA", at positions 30 to 416 of the family's 1533-position model. The record is from RNAcentral.
AUUGAACGCUGGCGGAAUGCUUUACACAUGCAAGUCGAACGGUAGAGGGGGCAACCCCUUGAGAGUGGCGAACGGGUGAGUAAUAUAUCGGAACGUGCCCAGUCGUGGGGAUAACGUAGCGAAAGUUACGCUAAUACCGCAUACGUCCUACGGGAGAAAGCGGGGGAUCGCAAGACCUCGCGCGAUUGGAGCGGCCGAUAUCAGAUUAGGUAGUUGGUGAGGUAAAGGCUCACCAAGCCGACGAUCUGUAGCUGGUCUGAGAGGACGACCAGCCACACUGGGACUGAGACACGGCCCAGACUCCUACGGGAGGCAGCAGUGGGGAAUUUUGGACAAUGGGCGCAAGCCUGAUCCAGCAAUGCCGCGUGCAGGAUGAAGGCC